ACGGAAGGCAGCAGUGAGGAAUAUUGGUCAAUGGGCGCAAGCCUGAACCAGCCAAGUAGCGUGAGGGAUGACUGCCCUACGGGUUGUAAACCUCUUUUGUUUGGGAAUAAAGGAGCCUACGCGUAGGCUUUUGCGUGUACCUUUCGAAUAAGCAUCGGCUAAUUCCGUGCCAGCAGCCGCGGUAAUACGGAAGAUGCGAGCGUUAUCCGGAUUUAUUGGGUUUAAAGGGAGCGUAGGCGGCCGGUUAAGUCUGCGGUCAAAUGUCAGGGCCCAACCUUGGCAUGCCGUGGAUACUGUCCGGCUUGAGUGCACACAAGGAAGGUGGAAUUCGUCGUGUAGCGGUGAAAUGCUUAGAUAUGACGAAGAACUCCGAUUGCGAAGGCAGCCUUCUGGGGUGUUACUGACGCUGAGGCUCGAAAGUGCGGGAAUCAAACAGGAUUAGAUACCCUGGUA
This 453-nucleotide ribosomal RNA is filed under the name uncultured Paraprevotella sp. RNAcentral's name for it is "partial 16S ribosomal RNA". It matches the Rfam family "Bacterial small subunit ribosomal RNA", at positions 341 to 792 of the family's 1533-position model. The record is from RNAcentral. Lineage: Bacteria; Pseudomonadati; Bacteroidota; Bacteroidia; Bacteroidales; Prevotellaceae.